This is a long non-coding RNA of Anopheles arabiensis, 2691 nucleotides long. RefSeq lists it as uncharacterized. The transcript has 11 exons. The record is from RefSeq and is a predicted model, not a curated record. NCBI's taxonomy places the organism in Eukaryota, Metazoa, Arthropoda, Insecta, Diptera, Culicidae.
GCACCAAACGGCAUGUGACGACGGACAGUGUGUGGAUGUGUGUGUGUAAUUUUAGGCAGCGAAGAUGGAUCGAGGUUAUGUUUACAAAGUGAAAGAGUUUGAUGCGGAAGCGUCUUUGUGAUAAACAUGUAUUUUAUUUGCAUAAUUUCAGUGUUAAAGUUUGUAAUGUGAACUUAAAAGUAAUGACCAAUGGUGCUAUUCACUUGUGUGCUGUUGGCGAAUAUUGAAGCGUUAAAAUAUUGCAGCUUCCUAUGUUAGUUUGUUGUGCUUAGUGUGAAGCAAAAAUGUGUGCUAAAGUGUUAUAAAUUAGAAAAAUGAGAAAACGAUAGAUGGAGGUUAGAUACGUGCAGCUAUUUGCCUCCGCAGGAAGAUUUCUUAUCCUUAUUUUUGUUUACACCAACCUUGGAUCGUCGGCGCGGGCCUUAUGGGAACUGCGCGGUUAGAGCAACAACCGGAUGAGCAUUUUGUUGCAGGCGGAAAUUGUCUCAAGUUUGGGAAUUGAAGAGAGUUACAGCACACUGUGAACAUCGUUGUAAACAAUCGAUGGUACACCGUGCAAGAAAAGUCCCAUCAAACAACACGUCUAAAGCCUCAUGCAUCCUGUUGUUGGCAUCCUGGCUGCUGAUAUCUGCAUCUAUUAUUUAAGUAUAACUGCCAAAUGCAAAAUCAUCUCCAGCUAUUUUUGCUUCAAAUGCAUCAAACUUUUGUUAAUUUUCGAUUGUUUCUAUUGCUAAACUCUGCGCAUUUCUUCUUAUACCCUUCAUAGGAUUCAGUAUUGUGGACUGCUCAUUUAAAAUCACCAUUAUCUGUGCGCUGCGUGCAUCUAUUUUCAUUAACAGCAUCCGACAACGAAGGCAGCAGCUUCCAGAAUGCUCUGUAGAAGUAAUUGAAAAGACUGCUUGAUUUGCUCCUGCUGCAGUCUGGUGUUCAUCGUCGGUGAUCAUCAUUAUUAGUGACGAAGGCAGCACAGGCAAAUUUAUCACAACAGGACCAGUUGCUCGUUCAGUCGUUAUGUACGUUAUGCGCUUGUCGAUGGCACUUAAUUACCACCAUCAACUAUCUUGCCUGGCGGACGGAUCUGGCUAGGAACACAGAUCCUCUAGGAGCCGCUAUCACCGAUGCAGAAGCACUGGUGGGUAAUUGUUGUCUUACAAAAGCGGACAUCAUAUCACGCUGAUUCUUCGGAGCAUGAACUUCGACAAGCGAUGCAAUCGAUGGUACUGCAGAACCCGCCAAUGCCUGUUGUCUACCGAUCUUCAUGCCUGAUUCCUGCGGUAGAGCAUCAGCAACCGGUACCACUGAUGGCGCAGCAGUACUAGUUGACGGUUGCUGUCCAUGUUGCUGGCCUAACGGACGGAAUGGUGCAAGAACAUCAGCUGUUCAUCAACACGGACUGGCAUUCUUUGUUGACUCGCGCUGACCAGCCACUGAAACCACCGAAGGCACUGCACUUGUUGUCGGAAGUUGUCCAACAACACGGACCGGCAAUCUGGGGGACGGAUAGCACGAGGAAUGGCAACCGGAACCACCGAUGGCACUGCACUUGUCGUCGGAAGUUGUCCAACAACACGGACUGGUACAUCUGACUGACGAAGCUACUUAUCACAUACCCGCGUUUUAUGUCCCCAUUCUUGGUGUUUCCGGGUUACUCGCCAUCGCGCUGUAGUCGGAUCAUACUGCACCUGUCCUGCCUCGAUUAAUGCCUCCCCAAAGACAAAAUUAGAGCACGCGUUCCUAUUCCUCAUCCUCCGGCGCUGUCUGGAGAAUGUGGGAGUCACUGCUCUAUAAAAACCACCGGACUACCACAAACUGGAAACAGCGGAAAACCCCGUGGGUCACCGGCCACCAUGCUAAAUUGAAGCAAAGUUGAACUAAUCUGCCGUGCGAAAUAGCAAAAAAAAAUAUUUCAUUUUAAUGUUUUAUUAAGCUAAACUGACAUUAUAUUUUUAAUCUAAAACGUUUUUGCUGUGUUUUUUUUUUCUCAUCGCGUUUAGGCGUCGUGUAUCAGAUUGCAACUGCUAAUAAUUUCGUCGUCUGAGGCGGACUGUUAUGGAGGUACCAAAUCUUCAGUGAUGAUGAAUGCGUUCACGCUUCUACGAGCCGGUAAUUGGCGGUAUCCAGAUUAUCAUCGUACUGUUAGCUUACCUAAGCUACCGAAAUUAGCGACAGUGUAAAAUCUGUGCUGUAAGAAUUACGAAUGGUCGUGGUAGACGCGUUAGGAUUGCAAGGCGAUAAUUGCGCUCUGAAAAUGCUAGCACAGAUGUUUGGGCCACAGAGGUGACGUUCCGAGAUUGUAAAAACAUGCCGGCCCACAGUUUCAGAUAAGCCGUUCUCAUCAUAGCCGUACCAUGUACGGUCGGCUAGUUACACUUCAUCACGAAGGACAAUCACAUCUAGGUGACGGAAUGCUGCCAAAACGAUGAAGCUGGCUUAGUCCUCGAUGACGACGCAACUCCUGUACGUUCGUCGUCAUACUAUCAUUUUAACUGAAGGCAUGUUUGUUUAGGCGGCUACAACAAAUUGUUUGAACAUGUUCAAUGAAACAAACAUGUUGUUUUGGCUUCUCACAAUUAUUGAUGAAUGCUGGAAAUCUCCGUGAUAGCCGUUUUCUUGCGCUGAAUUAGGUUUGUAUGAAAAAUAGUGUAUUUUUAGAAUAUUUAAUUAUCAAUAAAAUAACGGUCAAUUUGAAAA